UAGUUAAAAGCCCACCUGGUAAGGUUCCAUUAACAGUGAAAAUUCAUUAAUUUCAGCUGUCUCUGAAGCUGACUGUGCAGAGACAAUAAGCAAGUCUGCAUCCACUCACAACCUCACCUAGUGGCAAGAGUGGAUGUACAUUGCAUUGCUUGCAACUGUUUCUACAUCACUGGAGGUUCUUUCUUUUAGAAUCGGGUAUCUGUGAUUCAGCUGUACCAAAGAUCACUUGCCAGAAAGGGAAGAUCCUUCUUCAGCAGCUCUGCAAAUGUUCCACACACAGUUGUUUUGUUUCCUGCAUGCCAUGGAUAUGGACAUCGUGCUGUGCAUCUAAUGGUGGCCUUGGAUGCAUGCUCUGUAUUCUACAUUUCCUGCUAAGUCCCAGUCACACAGAAAUGGUUGGAAAAGGAUGCCGAGUAACUUCCACAACUUUUACAAUGAGGUGUAUGAAGCAAGGCAGCGUGCUGUGGAACAGAGACGUGGUGCAAUCAGCUUAAGCAGGAGAAUAGUUGAGCUGCUCUUAGCAACA
Meleagris gallopavo (turkey) is the source of this 526-nucleotide non-coding RNA. NCBI's taxonomy places the organism in Eukaryota, Metazoa, Chordata, Aves, Galliformes, Phasianidae. The record is from RefSeq and is a predicted model, not a curated record.